GUACUGCUGAAGAGUCCCACAAUGAGAGGAAACGGACGUCCAGUGC
This 46-nucleotide non-coding RNA is filed under the name Schistosoma haematobium. Lineage: Eukaryota; Metazoa; Platyhelminthes; Trematoda; Strigeidida; Schistosomatidae. The record is from RNAcentral.